This 253-nucleotide ribosomal RNA is filed under the name uncultured bacterium. Its description in RNAcentral is "partial 16S ribosomal RNA". It matches the Rfam family "Bacterial small subunit ribosomal RNA", at positions 524 to 776 of the family's 1533-position model. The record is from RNAcentral.
AACGUAGGUGGCAAGCGUUAUCCGGAAUUACUGGGCGUAAAGGGUGUGCAGGCGGACUGACAAGUGGUGUAUGAAAGGUAUGCGCUAAACGCAUGGAAUGUAUGCCAGACUGUCAGCCUUGAGUGCGAGAGAGGGGCAUGGAAUUCCGGGUGUAGUGGUGAAAUGCGUAGAGAUCCGGAGGAACCUCAGAGGCGAAGGCGGUGCCCUGGCUCGCAACUGACGCUCAGACACGACAGCAUGGGGAGCGAACGGG